AAGUCGUAACAAGGUUUCCGUAGGUGAACCUGCGGAAGGAUCAUUAAAACGUAUCCAACGUUUAACUAAUUGUGAACUCGUUUCUCCCUUUGCAUCGUAAAAUUGGAGCUGUGAUCGACAUUGAGUGGGAUCUCUAAUCGGAUCUGUCUUUCGCAGUCACUGAUACUUUCGGGUAUCGACAAGGGUCACGAUGUGGAGGCUUUUCUUUCUGUCAUCACCCUCCAUUCAAAGGUGGGACAGGGGGAGCUCCAACCAUUAACCAUUAUCACCCUUUUUUGCUAGUUGACUUUUUUAAUGUUGAGCUCUACGAAAGUCGAGAUCACACGUUUAUCUAUUUGAACGUAAAAUACAACUCUUAGCAAUGGAUAUCUAGGUUCUC
This 379-nucleotide unclassified non-coding RNA is filed under the name fungal sp. RNAcentral's name for it is "partial internal transcribed spacer region". The stretch from base 1 to 46 matches the Rfam family "Eukaryotic small subunit ribosomal RNA", at positions 1786 to 1831 of the family's 1831-position model. The record is from RNAcentral. Lineage: Eukaryota; Fungi.